UAUCCAGAAUGUAUGACAUGGUGUUAAAUUGGGAACUGCAAUUACUGUUGUGUUUUGACAAUGUUCUGUAUGUAGCUAGAGAUAUGGUGUUAUUCAUGUGCAAUCUAGAUGGAUUAUUUGGUUAUUUGGUUAUACUCCAAAAGAGAGCCCAUAAUGGCAAAUGUAGAGAAGUUAGAGUCAGAUUACAUCUGUUUCAUGUCAUCUCUCUUGGGUGAUCCAAGUGAUGCAGCUAGUGGAUGCAUUUCACGUAUGAAUGCAAGAAGAUCCUCGGAAUGAAGUAAUCCAAAUAACAGUCAAUGUAUAGAUCCUUUAUGAUAAUGGUUGGAAUGGAUUUAGUAGAUACUAAUGUUUGUGUUUGCUAAUUGAAAUAUAUGUUUGAGACUCAUUA
Long non-coding RNA from Solanum pennellii, 388 nucleotides. RefSeq lists it as uncharacterized. NCBI's taxonomy places the organism in Eukaryota, Viridiplantae, Streptophyta, Magnoliopsida, Solanales, Solanaceae. The record is from RefSeq and is a predicted model, not a curated record. The transcript has 2 exons.